UAAGGAAUAUUGGUCAAUGGAGGCAACUCUGAACCAGCCAUGCCGCGUGCAGGAAGACGGUCCUCUGGGUUGUAAACUGCUUUUAUUCGGGAAUAAACCUAUCUACGUGUAGAUAGCUGAAUGUACCGAAGGAAUAAGGAUCGGCUAACUCCGUGCCAGCAGCCGCGGUAAUACGGAGGAUCCAAGCGUUAUCCGGAUUUAUUGGGUUUAAAGGGUGCGUAGGCGGCCUAUUAAGUCAGGGGUGAAAGACGGUGGCUCAACCAUCGCAGUGCCCUUGAUACUGAUGAGCUUGAAUGAACUAGAGGUAGGCGGAAUGUGACGAGUAGCGGUGAAAUGCAUAGAUAUGUCGCAGAACACCGAUUGCGAAGGCAGCUUACUAUGGUUUUAUUGACGCUGAGGCACGAAAGCGUGGGGAUCAAACA
This 422-nucleotide ribosomal RNA is filed under the name uncultured bacterium. RNAcentral's name for it is "bacterial SSU rRNA". It matches the Rfam family "Bacterial small subunit ribosomal RNA", at positions 355 to 774 of the family's 1533-position model. The record is from RNAcentral.